GUUUCUCUUGUGUCUAGAUCCGGGAUUCCGCAUCAGUUGGUAUCAAUUUCAGGCCAUUCGGUGUUAUUUUUGAAGCUAAAAUCAUAUCCGAAACGAGUCAAAAUACCAAAAACACUUUUCAUCGGUUUCGUCAAUUUUCUUUUUUUUCUCCUCUUAUUCUUUAAAAAAAUAAAAAGCAAAAAGCGCAAAAAAAAAACCGCAAAAAAAAAGAAAAAGCAAAAAGCGCAAAAAAAACCGCAAAAAAAAAGUUGCCUACCUUUCCUACGUAGGUUUCUUCU
Molecule: long non-coding RNA, 278 nt
Filed under: Gossypium raimondii (Peruvian cotton)
Lineage: Eukaryota; Viridiplantae; Streptophyta; Magnoliopsida; Malvales; Malvaceae
Description: long non-coding RNA (GRAI_LNC002035)
Source: RNAcentral